This 465-nucleotide ribosomal RNA is filed under the name Vreelandella stevensii. RNAcentral's name for it is "partial 16S ribosomal RNA". It matches the Rfam family "Bacterial small subunit ribosomal RNA", at positions 338 to 795 of the family's 1533-position model. Lineage: Bacteria; Pseudomonadati; Pseudomonadota; Gammaproteobacteria; Oceanospirillales; Halomonadaceae. The record is from RNAcentral.
CCUACGGGGGGCUGCAGUGGGGAAUAUUGGACAAUGGGGGGAACCCUGAUCCAGCCAUGCCGCGUGUGUGAAGAAGGCCCUCGGGUUGUAAAGCACUUUCAGUGAGGAAGAACGCCUGGUGGUUAAUACCCAUCAGGAAAGACAUCACUCACAGAAGAAGCACCGGCUAACUCCGUGCCAGCAGCCGCGGUAAUACGGAGGGUGCGAGCGUUAAUCGGAAUUACUGGGCGUAAAGCGCGCGUAGGUGGCUUGAUAAGCCGGUUGUGAAAGCCCCGGGCUCAACCUGGGAACGGCAUCUGGAACUGUCAAGCUAGAGUGCAGGAGAGGAAGGUAGAAUUCCCGGUGUAGCGGUGAAAUGCGUAGAGAUCGGGAGGAAUACCAGUGGCGAAGGCGGCCUUCUGGACUGACACUGACACUGAGGUGCGAAAGCGUGGGUAGCAAACAGGAUUAGAUACCCCAGUAGUC